RNAcentral lists this ribosomal RNA (152 nucleotides) under uncultured bacterium. RNAcentral describes it as "partial 16S ribosomal RNA". It matches the Rfam family "Bacterial small subunit ribosomal RNA", at positions 335 to 485 of the family's 1533-position model. The record is from RNAcentral.
ACUCCUACGGGAGGCAGCAGUGGGGAAUAUUGCACAAUGGGCGCAAGCCUGAUGCAGCGACGCCGCGUGAGGGAUGACGGCCUUCGGGUUGUAAACCUCUUUCAGUAUGGAACAAGGAUCCUUCUUUUGGGGGGUUGGAGGGUACGUGCAGA